RNAcentral lists this ribosomal RNA (497 nucleotides) under uncultured bacterium. Its description in RNAcentral is "partial 16S ribosomal RNA". It matches the Rfam family "Bacterial small subunit ribosomal RNA", at positions 28 to 507 of the family's 1533-position model. The record is from RNAcentral.
GACGAACGCUGGCGGCGUGCCUAAUACAUGCAAGUAGAACGCUGAAGCGAGGAGCUUGCUCUUCUUGGAUGAGUUGCGAACGGGUGAGUAACGCGUAGGUAACCUGCCUUGUAGCGGGGGAUAACUAUUGGAAACGAUAGCUAAUACCGCAUAACAAUGGAUGACACAUGUCAUUUAUUUGAAAGGGGCAAUUGUUCCACUACAAGAUGGACCUGCGUUGUAUUAGCUAGUAGGUGAGGUAAUGGCUCACCUAGGCGACGAUACAUAGCCGACCUGAGAGGGUGAUCGGCCACACUGGGACUGAGACACGGCCCAGACUCCUACGGGAGGCAGCAGUAGGGAAUCUUCGGCAAUGGGGGCAACCCUGACCGAGCAACGCCGCGUGAGUGAAGAAGGUUGUCGGAUCGUAAAGCUCUGUUGUAAGUCAAGAACGGGUGUGAGAGUGGAAAGUUCACACUGUGACGGUAGCUUACCAGAAAGGGACGGCUAACUACGUG